Molecule: ribosomal RNA, 253 nt
Filed under: uncultured bacterium
Lineage: Bacteria
Description: partial 16S ribosomal RNA
Rfam family: Bacterial small subunit ribosomal RNA
Source: RNAcentral
UACGGGGGGAGCAAGCGUUGUUCGGAUUUACUGGGCGUAAAGAGCGCGCAGGCGGUCGUUCAAGUCGCGUGUGAAAGCCCCCGGCUCAACUGGGGAGGGUCACGCGAUACUGAUCGACUCGAAGGCAGGAGAGGGUAGUGGAAUUCCCGGUGUAGUGGUGAAAUGCGUAGAUAUCGGGAGGAACACCAGUGGCGAAGGCGACUACCUGGCCUGUUCUUGACGCUGAGGCGCGAAAGCCAGGGGAGCAAACGGG